AUUGAACGCUGGCGGCAGGCCUAACACAUGCAAGUCGACCGAGUGGCGGACGGGUGAGUAAUGUCUGGGAAACUGCCCGAUGGAGGGGGAUAACUACUGGAAACGGUAGCUAAUACCGCAUACCAUCGGAUGUGCCCACAUGGGAUUAGAAAGUAGGGGGGGUAACGGCUCACAUAGGCAACGAUCCCUAGCUGGUCUGAGAGUAUGACCAGCGACGCUGGAACUGAGACACGGUCCAGAGUCCUACGGGAGGCAGCAGUGACGAAUAUUGCACAAUGGGCGCAAGACUGAUGCAGCCAUGCCGCGUGUAUGAAGAAGGCCUUCGGGUUGUAAAGUACUUUCAGCGGGGAGGCGUUACUCGCAGAAGAAGCACCGGCUAACUCCGUGCCAGCAGCCGCGGUAAUUC
This 406-nucleotide ribosomal RNA is filed under the name uncultured bacterium. RNAcentral's name for it is "partial 16S ribosomal RNA". It matches the Rfam family "Bacterial small subunit ribosomal RNA", at positions 30 to 526 of the family's 1533-position model. The record is from RNAcentral.